Sander lucioperca (pikeperch) is the source of this 1080-nucleotide long non-coding RNA. RefSeq lists it as uncharacterized. NCBI's taxonomy places the organism in Eukaryota, Metazoa, Chordata, Actinopteri, Perciformes, Percidae. The record is from RefSeq and is a predicted model, not a curated record. The transcript has 5 exons.
AAAGCACACACUACUGACUACACUACUGUCACUUCUCACAGAUGAUGAAGGAUAGUAACACGAUGACAAGAAGCAACAAUAAAACGAAACUCAGAGUUUCUACUCUGCCUGAUCUAAAGUGAUGAACGCAAAGUGAGCAUGAACAGCAAGGGAAUGAAAAAAAGAGCCAACCAUAAAAGGGGUUUCCACCCUGUUCUUUCACAGUUCCUCUUGAAACACAGGAGUGUAUGUCACUAUGCUAGUAAAGGGGAACCACAUUAACCACAGUUUUACAUCACUUCACAAGCUGACAGGAGAUAGUCUAGCUUUUGAUAGGAAUCCUAAAAGUCUUCAGUUAAGUCUGAAUGAGUCUACAGGCAUGAAAACGAGUGAUUGAUUAUCUUGAAUAUUCGUGAUGUAAAACAACAGGGGAAGAACUUGUGACAGAAAGACACUGGAGAGGGCAUUAAAUAGAACAAAACCAGCGCUUUGAAGCAGAUCCUGAGCAGCUUCACCAACAGAUUGAGAAGGAGGAAGCAGUGAGUUACACCCUGAAGCGAAAACAAUCCAUCAAACCCCCCAGCUUUGGAAACCAACCAUCCUGCUGGUUUGAGAUCUCUCAAAAAAGAAGAUUGAUGACACCAUAAAUGGAGAGAUAUAAGAAAACCCCUGUGCUGUUUCUUCUUCUGGCUCUGCUUUGUGAAUGUGCUGCUGGAAACAAUCUGUGCUUCCAUAACAGUGUCUCAGAUCUCACCUGCUACACUGACUAUAAUUCUACUAUCACUUGUGUGUGGAACAGCACAUAUGUGUCUGAUCAGCCAGACAAUGUGUGCACAAUACAAUCCAAAGGUAUCAACAAGAGUUAUGGAUAUCAUGACAGUUCAUGUAAGCUGGAGCCUGUUGACGUCUCCAGACCAAUGCCAAAGAAGUGCUCCCUGAUCUACAGUAGAGUAAGGAAUGUGAGUCUGAGGAGCUCUCAUGUAACCACACACUGUAAUAUCUCAACUGAGAGAAGAAUGGAAUAGUGGACAUUGAAAGAAUAGUUUAACACUUAGCAAAGCAAAACAUGAUUAUUUGCUUUCUUACUGAGAGUUAGUUGAA